RNAcentral lists this ribosomal RNA (542 nucleotides) under uncultured Acidobacterium sp. RNAcentral's name for it is "bacterial SSU rRNA". It matches the Rfam family "Bacterial small subunit ribosomal RNA", at positions 1 to 522 of the family's 1533-position model. Lineage: Bacteria; Pseudomonadati; Acidobacteriota; Terriglobia; Terriglobales; Acidobacteriaceae. The record is from RNAcentral.
AGGGGUUUGAUCAUGGCUCAGAACGAACGCUGGCGGCGUGCCUAACACAUGCAAGUCGUACGUGAAAGCAGGCUUCGGCCUGUCGGUAGCGUGGCAGACGGGUGAGUAACACGUGGGCAACCUGCCCGGAGGCGGGGGAUAACCUCUCGAAAGGGAGGCUAAUACCGCAUAACAUCGCGAGCUCCUAGGGGCUCGCGAUCAAAGUCGGCCUCUACUUGUAAGCUGACACCACCGGAGGGGCCCGCGCCCCAUUAGCUUGUUGGUGAGGUAACGGCUCACCAAGGCGACAAUGGGUAGCCGGCCUGAGAGGGCGAUCGGCCACACUGGAACUGAGACACGGUCCAGACUCCUACGGGAGGCAGCAGUGAGGAAUUUUGCGCAAUGGGCGAAAGCCUGACGCAGCGACGCCGCGUGGAGGAUGAAGGUCUUCGGAUCGUAAACUCCUGUCAAGCGGGACGAACGCCGGAGAGGUCAAUACCCUUUUCGGUUGACGGUACCGCUGGAAGAAGCCCCGGCUUAACUCCGUGCCAGCAGCCGCGGUA